AGAUCAGCCCUGGGGUUCAGAGGGAUCCUGACAGCUACUCCUCAAGAUCCUCUCUGUUGUGAUUCAUCCCCCCGGGGCCCUACAGUUUCUCCUUCCUGACUCUUACAUUUCUUUGGAUGGCAUCAUUAUUUACCUGUCUCCUCCCAUAGUUAGGUGCCAAGCACUGUGGAUUCUGCCUCUCAGUGUCCAGACACCCAUUUUCCUUCCCACUGUUCCUUCCCCAUGGAGAAGCCUGUGGCUGGCUGACAGCAGAGAGAGAUGCUCAACUUGGAGAAGGUGUUACCUGGGCCAGGUGGGGAAGGUUUGUUUGCAGAGCAAAGAAGUGAAGAUCCUCAUGUGACAGGUGACCUGCCAUAUAAUCAGAAGGAAGAAAUGUUACACAGAGAGGCUGAGAAGAAUCUGAGGACUUGCUAAGUUUUCCCCAGUUUAUUACCAUUAGAUCAUAUGCCUUUUUUGUUCAAUCAUACUUCUAUACAACUGUCCAUCAUUCAUUAAACCUAACCACAAAAGUAGUUUUCACUCGGUUUUUGAGUGAAGGCUCCUGUGUCACAUAAAACUUACAUUAAAUAAAUUUGUUCCACUUUU
This 585-nucleotide long non-coding RNA is filed under the name Homo sapiens (human). RNAcentral describes it as "MYO3B antisense RNA 1". Lineage: Eukaryota; Metazoa; Chordata; Mammalia; Primates; Hominidae. The record is from RNAcentral.